This is a long non-coding RNA of Xiphias gladius (swordfish), 733 nucleotides long. RefSeq lists it as uncharacterized. The record is from RefSeq and is a predicted model, not a curated record. Lineage: Eukaryota; Metazoa; Chordata; Actinopteri; Istiophoriformes; Xiphiidae. The transcript has 4 exons.
UCGAGUUGCACGGGCCGACACGUGACACGCUCCCACCUGCUGCGGCCUGUUUCCAACGCACCCUCCGUCUGACAGCGGCCUCUUCAAACUGGCAAAAGCGCCCUGCCCGCCGCGGGUUGUAAAGAGCACGGUCCGGAAAUAUCGCCGCAGGGUGGCCGUUCCCGUUCCCGUUCCCGUUCCCGUUUUGUUUGGCCGGUUGUGAUGCGACCUGCCGGACCAAAGGGGCGCAUCGGGCCGGAGGAGGACUUGGACACACCUGGGGACCCCGGCCUGACUUCAGCGGGUAAGCACGGUUAGAUGGUGCAUUACAUUGCUUGUCAAGAUGAAGCCAGUGCUCAAGUGGAUUCUGCCCUUCCCUCUCUGUAAGUGGUAGAUCGCAGAGGGUGCAUCUACUACUCCCGUGUGCUGAAGCGCCUGUGCGAGCCUGCUCAGGAUUGUCUCCAUGGUUAGGAUCCUCCUGUCUGCUCUCUCCAAGCUUCCUGCCCCUGCUCUGUCUGAGACACUAUGUUAGCACAUCUGGCUGACCGUUGCUGUUUACGGGAAGAGGCCCUGCUUAGACAUGAAAUUGACGCCCGCUGUUUGCAACUUCUUCCACUCAGCUGGAGUCCUUCAAUCUAAAGAGCCUGGGGUUUCCAAAGCCCUUUCUCCUUUGACUGUUGGAACUGCAUCCUAAACAAACAGCACUGCCCUGAAAACAGCCAGCAAAAAUGAAAACAUUUAUUCAAAACAGCUU